This 468-nucleotide ribosomal RNA is filed under the name uncultured bacterium. Its description in RNAcentral is "partial 16S ribosomal RNA". It matches the Rfam family "Bacterial small subunit ribosomal RNA", at positions 28 to 507 of the family's 1533-position model. The record is from RNAcentral.
GACGAACGCUGGCGGCGUGCUUAACGCAUGCAAGUCGAACGGAAAGGCCCUGCUUUUGUGGUGUGCUCGAGUGGCGAACGGGUGAGUAACACGUGAGUAACCUGCCCUUGACUUUGGGAUAACUUCAGGAAACUGGGGCUAAUACCGGAUAGGAGCUCCUGCUGCAUGGUGGGGGUUGGAAAGUUUCGGCGGUUGGGGAUGGACUCGCGGCUUAUCAGCUUGUUGGUGGGGUAGUGGCUUACCAAGGCUUUGACGGGUAGCCGGCCUGAGAGGGUGACCGGCCACAUUGGGACUGAGAUACGGCCCAGACUCCUACGGGAGGCAGCAGUGGGGAAUAUUGCACAAUGGGCGGAAGCCUGAUGCAGCAACGCCUCGUGCGGGAUGACGGCCUUCGGGUUGUAAACCGCUUUCGCCUGUGACGAAGCGUGAGUGACGGUAAUGGGUAAAGAAGCACCGGCUAACUACGUG